AACGCCUAAAACCAACAAAGAAGGUCCUCGUCGUAAUCAUCAUCAUUCUUUUUAUCUUGUUGGUUAUCUUCUUCGGACUUUUCAUCGCCUUUUGCGUCAAAUACGAUGAAAAGAACGGCUCGACUGAGAUCAUUUCCACUUUCGUUCCGUCAGAAAAUGUCUGCCAAACGUUCGAUUGUCUGGAAUCAGCUGCCUAAAUUGCCAAAAGCAUCAACACCAGUGUGGAUCCAUGCGACAACUUCUACCAGUUCGCCUGCGGACGCUGGAUGGCCGAGCAUCCCAUACCCUUGGAUUCCAGUGGAAUUAAUAAUUUUAUUCUUAUAGCAAACGAGAUUAAACAGACAC
Long non-coding RNA from Pomacea canaliculata, 345 nucleotides. RefSeq lists it as uncharacterized. The transcript has 3 exons. NCBI's taxonomy places the organism in Eukaryota, Metazoa, Mollusca, Gastropoda, Architaenioglossa, Ampullariidae. The record is from RefSeq and is a predicted model, not a curated record.